Molecule: microRNA precursor, 128 nt
Filed under: Pelodiscus sinensis (Chinese soft-shelled turtle)
Lineage: Eukaryota; Metazoa; Chordata; Testudines; Trionychidae
Description: miRNA (ENSPSIG00000020038.1)
Source: RNAcentral
UCUUCCUCUUCCUCUUCCUCUUCCUCUUCCUCUUCACAGAUUCAAUUUCCUGUACUGCUAUCAAGUGCCUUGUCUUUGUCUUAUUUAGGUUAUAGGGGUCUUCCUGGCAUUGUAUAGGUCUUAUCUUU